UACGUAGGGACCAAGCGUUGUUCGGAUUUACUGGGCGUAAAGGGCGCGUAGGCGGCGCGGUAAGUCACUUGUGAAAUCUCUGAGCUUAACUCAGAACGGCCAAGUGAUACUGCAGUGCUAGAGUGUGGAAGGGGCAAUCGGAAUUCUUGGUGUAGCGGUGAAAUGCGUAGAUAUCAAGAGGAACACCUGAGGUGAAGACGGGUUGCUGGGCCAACACUGACGCUGAGGCGCGAAAGCUAGGGGAGCAAACGGG
RNAcentral lists this ribosomal RNA (253 nucleotides) under uncultured bacterium. RNAcentral's name for it is "partial 16S ribosomal RNA". It matches the Rfam family "Bacterial small subunit ribosomal RNA", at positions 524 to 776 of the family's 1533-position model. The record is from RNAcentral.